GAGACAGAUAAAAACGGUGAGGGAGGACAGGUACCAUCCUACAUCUCUCCCCCUGGUAAACUCUGCUCGGCUGCUUGUCUGUUGGGCGCCACAGCCAGCGCCAUUUGGCGCUCAUAUGGACCCAAUUAUGUAAGGCAGAAGCCUCCAAUCAUCUCUGCAGCUUUCACAGUCCCUGUUCUGCUGUCCUGGUCCUAAUCAAAAUCGUUGAGGUGGAGGAGUAAAUCACGAGCAGGGCCGACUGAGGCAGGGAUAACAAGAAAAGGAAAGAUGCUUUCGGGAGCAAUCAGACAAACCGCAGGACUCCCUCUCUGCUCUUUAUCCUCGCACAGUUCCCACAAUCCCCACCUUCUCUCACCCAUCCCUCCUCCCGCAACAACCGCACAGUGAAACCUGAACCCUGGCAUUAUACACUCCCCCUCCUCACCCUCCCAGCCCCUAACAGUGAGAGUGUGGGAGGACGGGUGAGAGGCUACAUGGUCCCAGGCAGCCACCCGUCAAUCAAGUGCCUCUCUUGUGUCGGAACAAGGCAUCGAGCUCAGGUGAGAAUGGAAGCUGGUUGAUUGAAAACACACAAAAAAGAUUCACAGCAGGACACAGAGUGUAUCAGCGUGUUGAUGCCGGAGAGUGUUGGUGAGAAUAAAAUCUAAAUAAGGAUCUUUCUUGACUGAAGGUCAUGAGCUCACUCUCAUCCCAGAGAUCAGCUGAGGGAGUCGUUUUAAAGAUUAAAAAGAUAAACAUGUAUUUAUACCCAGGGAUGAAAAACCCCAAACAUUCACUGCAGUUAUAAGAAAUCUGGACAGAUUUGAACCAAAUCAAAAACUAGAACUAGAACACCUAAAUAUAAAGAAGUGGUUCAGAUGUGAAAAUUGUAGAAUGUAUAUAUCUAAUAACUAUAUAUAAGAACUGUUGUUUUAACUUGACCUAUGUAGGUCUUUGCCUAGUGACUGAUUUCAAAAGCCACUUUUUUCACAAUCAAGUGAAAACAAUGACAUGCAAAUCUGCUACACCUCUACUACCUGCUUACUACAUACCAGAGGUGGAAAGAGUACAAUGCUACUCAUGGAAAAGUAUCACUAUUUUGAUAUUUGUUUAACUUAAGUACAAGUAAAGGUACUGGUCUAAAAAUGUACUCAAGUUAAUGUAAAAUAAAGAAAUUGGGGUUC
Molecule: long non-coding RNA, 1163 nt
Organism: Solea solea (common sole)
Lineage: Eukaryota; Metazoa; Chordata; Actinopteri; Pleuronectiformes; Soleidae
Exons: 2
Source: RefSeq, a predicted model, not a curated record